UGCCCCUGCACAGUGACAUACUUCCUCC
RNAcentral lists this non-coding RNA (28 nucleotides) under Mus musculus (house mouse). Lineage: Eukaryota; Metazoa; Chordata; Mammalia; Rodentia; Muridae. The record is from RNAcentral.